GAUGAACGCUGGCGGCGUGCCUAAUACAUGCAAGUCGAGCGAACGGACGAGAAGCUUGCUUCUCUGAUGUUAGCGGCGGACGGGUGAGUAACACGUGGAUAAUCUACCUAUAAUACUGGUAUCACUUCGGGAAACCGGAGCUAAUACCGGAUAACAUUUUGAACCGCAUGGUUCAAUAGUGAAAGACGGUCUUGCUGUCACUUCUAGAUGGAUCCGCGCUGCAUUAGCUAGUUGGUAAGGUAACGGCUUACCAAGGCAACGCUGCCUGUACGACCUGAGAGGGUGGUCGGCCACACUGGAACUGAGACACGGUCCAGACGCCUACGGUAGGGAGCAGUAGGGAAUCUUCCGCAACAGGCGAAAGCAUGACGGAGCAACGCCGCGUGAGUGAUGAAGGUCUUCGGAUCGUAAAACUCGGUUAUUAGGGGAGAACAUAUGUGUAAGUAACUGUGCACAUCUUGACGGUACCUAGUCAGAAAGCCACGGCUAACUACGUG
Molecule: ribosomal RNA, 497 nt
Filed under: uncultured bacterium
Lineage: Bacteria
Description: partial 16S ribosomal RNA
Rfam family: Bacterial small subunit ribosomal RNA
Source: RNAcentral